RNAcentral lists this ribosomal RNA (253 nucleotides) under uncultured bacterium. RNAcentral's name for it is "partial 16S ribosomal RNA". It matches the Rfam family "Bacterial small subunit ribosomal RNA", at positions 524 to 776 of the family's 1533-position model. RNAcentral also lists the same sequence under 1 other name. The record is from RNAcentral.
UACGUAGGUCCCGAGCGUUGUCCGGAAUUACUGGGUAUAAAGGGUGCGCAGGCGGUCUUGUGCGUCAGAAGUGAAAUAUCACGGCUCAACCGUGAGGGUGCUUUUGAUACGGCAAGACUUGAGUACGGGAGAGGAUGAUGGAAUUCCUGGUGUAGCAGUGAAAUGCGUAGAUAUCAGGAGGAACACCGGUGGCGAAGGCGGUCAUCUGGCCCGUAACUGACGCUCAGGCACGAAAGUGUGGGUAGCAAACAGG